This 329-nucleotide long non-coding RNA is filed under the name Mytilus galloprovincialis (Mediterranean mussel). Lineage: Eukaryota; Metazoa; Mollusca; Bivalvia; Mytilida; Mytilidae. The record is from RNAcentral.
AUUAAUUUAAAUGCACAAGUAAACUUCAACUUCAACUUAUUUUGAAUGUUUUGGUUUAUUUCAAAAUUCAACUUUUAGUCAGUUUCAAUCACUUUGUGAUAAAUCUUUUCAAUCUCAUAACUAUGCUUCGGGGCAGUUGUAGACAAAAGGAUAAUCCCUUACUAAGAACGUUAUUUCUACACAAUUAUUACCUCGCAGCUCUUCUACUAGGGGUUAUCUGAGCAAGAUCAUCCCUACUAGAUCACCCUAGCUUGAGUUUCUUUGUUUUGCAUGCUUUCCUAUGUUUUGUAACAAUUUGGGGGGAAUGCCUAAUCCACAAUUAAACUUAG